RNAcentral lists this ribosomal RNA (468 nucleotides) under uncultured bacterium. RNAcentral's name for it is "partial 16S ribosomal RNA". It matches the Rfam family "Bacterial small subunit ribosomal RNA", at positions 28 to 507 of the family's 1533-position model. The record is from RNAcentral.
GACGAACGCUGGCGGCGUGCUUAACACAUGCAAGUCGAACGGAAAGGCCCUGCUUUUGUGGGGUGCUCGAGUGGCGAACGGGUGAGUAACACGUGAGUAACCUGCCCUUGACUUUGGGAUAAUUUCAGGAAACUGGGGCUAAUACCGGAUAUGAGCUCCUGCUGCAUGGUGGGGGUUGGAAAGUUUCGGCGGUUGGGUAUGGACUCGCGGCUUAUCAGCUUGUUGGUGGGGUAGUGGCUUACCAAGGCUUUGACGGGUAGCCGGCCUGAGAGGGUGACCGGCCACAUUGGGACUGAGAUACGGCCCAGACUCCUACGGGAGGCAGCAGUGGGGAAUAUUGCACAAUGGGCGGAAGCCUGAUGCAGCAACGCCGCGUGCGGGAUGACGGCCUUCGGGUUGUAAACAGCUUUCGCCUGUGACGAAGCGUGAGUGACGGUAAUGGGUAAAGAAGCACCGGCUAACUACGUG